This is a long non-coding RNA of Dendrobium catenatum, 1558 nucleotides long. RefSeq lists it as uncharacterized. The transcript is spliced from 4 exons. The record is from RefSeq and is a predicted model, not a curated record. Lineage: Eukaryota; Viridiplantae; Streptophyta; Magnoliopsida; Asparagales; Orchidaceae.
CCGAGCAGAAAAACCUAAAUAUAAAAAAAUGAUCGCUGAGAGACAACAACUUAAUCAACCUUUGAGGAUCCAGAUUUUCUUGAAGCCACCAAGCAAGGCCUCGUAAUAUAACCUACGACCAAUGGAGUAACUGUCGAGAUAAAGGCUCAAAUCUUCAGCCCCUUUGGUCAAUUUGUCACCAGAAAAAAGAAUAAUUUCCGGUUUCGAGAGGAAAUAGAAAUGGUGAAGGUCACUAGAAGGUAGUUCAUCGGGAGAAAAAACUGCUUUCCAAUUGCGUUGUGGAGGGGAAGAAGCUCCACCACCGGAGGAGACGAGUGGAGGAAAGUCAGAGUGGAGUAAGGAAGUUUCCAUGGAGGAGAAAUGGGGGUGGAGCCGGAGGGAAGAAAGAGGCCGGGUAGAACCGGUAGAGUGGAGGAAAAAAUCCUAGCUCGACCUCCUGUGUGUUGUAUGUUUCUUUUUUUCUGGUAUAAAUCUCACUAUUUUCUUUCCUCUUAAUUCCUUCGGUCCAUGCACAGAGGCCAAAUAGUAUAUGGAAGAAGUUAGACAGGAAGGAGUAGAAAUCCAGAUAAGAGGACGACGGAAUGCUCGAGGGUUUAUUGCGCUUAGGAGAAGCGAUCGGAGCUGUCGAGCUGCCAGGAAGGAGCAGCUUCUCGAGCAGGUACUCGUGUGAUUUGAAGGAGUUAGGGCAUCGUCGAUCUUCCUUCUUCCGAAAGCUUUGCGAGGAAGAAAGAUAUUGUGCGGUGCUCUACUCAUCAUUACAAUUUGCUGCAGAUCUGCUUCAUUUUGAACUCGAUGAGAUCUUGACGUCAAAUUUGAUGUCUGUGACAACGAAUUUCAUGCUUGAGAAAUGAAGAGGUUUCUUAAAGGGAAACGGUUGGUUCAUGGUAGCUCUAGCUCCCAACGUCAUGUAGAUGAAGUUAUCUCCAGCAAUCCUAAAAGUACGUCUAGGAUUGCUAGGUGGCCCGAGGAGCACAAUGUUGUGCUAGCCGAGCUUCUAUAUGAGCAAUUCGUACAUGGAAAUAUAUGUAAUGGUCUCUUAAGGAAGAAGUAGUCGCCGAAUCUUAUUAAUGUCUUGAAUAGACAUUUGGGUACAUAUUACACAGAUUCUUCAAUCAUGAUUAGAUUCAAAAAUAUGAAAGAUGAUUUCUGUACACUAUAUCAACUAACAAAUCGAAGUGGUUGGGAUGAGGAAUUACACAUACUAAUUGCUACUGAAGAGCUUUGGGAGGAAAUUGUUCAGGUUACACCAAAGCUUUCACGAUAUCGUUGGCAUCCAUUCCACUAAUAUGAAAUUUUUGAAAAAAUUUGCUCAGAUAAUAUCGCAGUAGGUAAUGGUUGCUAGAUCCAAUAAGACAAAAUCUGCAAUAGUAAUUUUAUGGAAUGCUCGGAUUGCAAGUCAAAGAAAUCGAUCAUCGUGAAAAUAAAUUGGCUCCUAAGAAAUAGAUAUGAAGACAUCUACAUAUUAAAAGCAUUCUCUAAUUUAAUGCUUAAUCUGUCAUUUUGGUCAAUAUUGCUUUGUAAUUUGCUCUUUAUUGAAUUUUCGAUCAUUUUGUGUGAA